This 253-nucleotide ribosomal RNA is filed under the name uncultured bacterium. RNAcentral describes it as "partial 16S ribosomal RNA". It matches the Rfam family "Bacterial small subunit ribosomal RNA", at positions 524 to 776 of the family's 1533-position model. The record is from RNAcentral.
UACGUAGGGGCCGAGCGUUGUCCGGAUUUAUUGGGUUUAAAGGGUGCGUAGGCGGCUUUGUAAGUCAGUGGUGAAAUACUCCAGCUUAACUGGAGGGGUGCCAUUGAUACUGUAGGACUUGAGUACAGACGAGGUAGGCGGAAUUGACGGUGUAGCGGUGAAAUGCUUAGAUAUCGUCAAGAACACCGAUAGCGAAGGCAGCUUACUAGGCUGUAACUGACGCUGAGGCACGAAAGUGUGGGGAUCAAACAGG